This 586-nucleotide ribosomal RNA is filed under the name uncultured bacterium. Its description in RNAcentral is "bacterial SSU rRNA". It matches the Rfam family "Bacterial small subunit ribosomal RNA", at positions 339 to 915 of the family's 1533-position model. The record is from RNAcentral.
CUACGGGAGGCAGCAGUAGGGAAUCUUCCGCAAUGGACGAAAGUCUGACGGAGCAACGCCGCGUGAGUGAUGAAGGCUUUCGGGUCGUAAAACUCUGUUGUUAGGGAAGAACAAGUGCUAGUUGAAUAAGCUGGCACCUUGACGGUACCUAACCAGAAAGCCACGGCUAACUACGUGCCAGCAGCCGCGGUAAUACGUAGGUGGCAAGCGUUAUCCGGAAUUAUUGGGCGUAAAGCGCGCGCAGGUGGUUUCUUAAGUCUGAUGUGAAAGCCCACGGCUCAACCGUGGAGGGUCAUUGGAAACUGGGAGACUUGAGUGCAGAAGAGGAAAGUGGAAUUCCAUGUGUAGCGGUGAAAUGCGUAGAGAUAUGGAGGAACACCAGUGGCGAAGGCGACUUUCUGGUCUGUAACUGACACUGAGGCGCGAAAGCGUGGGGAGCAAACAGGAUUAGAUACCCUGGUAGUCCACGCCGUAAACGAUGAGUGCUAAGUGUUAGAGGGUUYCCGCCCUUUAGUGCUGAAGUUAACGCAUUAAGCACUCCGCCUGGGGAGUACGGCCGCAAGGCUGAAACUCAAAGGAAUUGACG